Salvia miltiorrhiza (redroot sage) is the source of this 3555-nucleotide long non-coding RNA. RefSeq lists it as uncharacterized. The transcript has 3 exons. Lineage: Eukaryota; Viridiplantae; Streptophyta; Magnoliopsida; Lamiales; Lamiaceae. The record is from RefSeq and is a predicted model, not a curated record.
AUCGUUUCUAUUUGAUUUGGCCAUCUUUUCUAUUUUACGAGUAUUUGAUAAGGCUGAUUACGAAUUCUCGAAUCAACACAGUAUUAUUAUGUUUAUGAAGUUUUAGUGUGUGAAUUUAUUUAAUUAUUGUAUUUACGAUUAUAGUUUGUUUUGGUUUAAAUGAGUGGCACAACUCUCUCUCCAUCUCUCUUUCGCAGUGCUAUCUUUAUUCAAUGCUAGGUUAUUGAGAAAAGCAUGAAUAUUACUCCUAGUCAAAUAUCUAGAAUGUAGAAUUACUUGAGAGUUAGUAAAGUCGCGCCAUCAAUUAGUCAUCAAUAUAUAAUACGAUUAGCGAUUCCUCGCUUCUCCUUAAUUUUAGGUCCUAUGUGGCAUAUCUAAGAAUUCAAGGUUUAAAAUCCCUGCAAGAGCUUCUACCUCAAUUCUAUUUUGCUGACGUGGCAAUAUAAUUCCACCUCAAUUAUUAUUUUAUAUAUAUCCAUUUUUCCCUCCCUCUUAUUUUAACUUUAUCAAAUAUCUAAUCCCAAUUCCGGAAUAUACAAUCUAUCCCAAUUCCUCUUUUUCCCCUCCCCGUCUCUCACAGGGUCCGACUCACACCAGACUUUCCCCUCCCUCUGUCGGCCAUUUUCCAUGAUUCGCCUCACUCCGGCCGCCGCUUCACCCUGUAUCUUACGCCCAUUUUCUCCUUCCCUGUCUCUCACACGGUCACAUGGUUGCAUAUCUUCUGCCAGAGCCGCCGAUGCCGCAGAGAUAUACCCCUUCCGUCUCCACACCAGCUCUCAUUUCGCCCUACCGCAGCCAUGGCACAGCCGCCGUCAAUGGGUGUCUCGCUGAUUUGCCUCCUCCCUUUUCCCUCCACCGCCGUCCGCCACCGCGUCGCGCCGCCCCGACACCCUUCGUCAUCUACCACACCCUACUCCACACCAGCUCUCAUUUCCCCCCACCGCAGCCAUGGCACAGUCGCCGCCAAUGGCUGCCCUGUGCCUAACACCACCGCCGUCAAUGGGUGUCUCGCCGGACAUUACUUGGCUCCGGAACGGUUCUUGAUUAGCCCCGGGUUCCGCCCCGCUGCCGGGGACAGCUACUUUUCCAUCAGUUGAAGGUGCGUGUAGAUUUCCGUCAAUCAUCGAGUUUUGAUCAACACUGUAACGUGUCGUCACCGUUUGCGAUCUGCCGUGAUUCUUCCUUUCCAUCCAUGGUAAGUAUUACAUUAGUUUCCUUAUUUAAUAAUGCGUUUGACUAUUGUAAAUAUAGAAUGAUUAUGGUGAACUUUAGAAAGAAUAGAUUUUGGAAACAAGUUUAACAAUGGAAAUUUCUAACCUAUAUUUUUAGCUAUAAUUUCCUUAGUUAAAAUGAUUUUGGCUGCAUCGUGUUUUUACAGCCAAUGCUAGAUAUCUUUCCUCUUCUUUUGCUACAUUUUUUCUUCUUUGCUCAUUUCACAUAUAUUUUGUAUUUGAAUCUGAAUUAUAGUUCAUGAAUUUGUUUGGGGACUGUGUGAGUGUGUGUGCACCAGUAGUUUAGAAGCAUUUGUGGGCUGCCACGAUAAGAAAAAACAUAAAUUGGCAAGUCAGUUAUUAGGUUGGAAUUACUUCUGUUUAAUGCCUUGUGAUAUGCCUUCAUCAUGAACCUAAUGGAGUAGCACGAAAUAACUUUCCUACUGGUGGUUUCUUUUCUAUGUCUCAAGCAUUGAAUGGUUAUACAUACUCUAUUGUGGCAUUUUAAUAGAGCAUGAACCUCAAUGCUUUUGCAUGAAGGUUGGUUAGAGCGGCUCAUAAAAAGGGGGCUAAUAUUAUUCUUAUACAGGUUUGUACUCUUAUAUUUGGUGAAUCAAUGUUCCUAUAUGUUAAUUUUGCUAUUGAUGAUAUGAUGAUUGCUCUGGAUUAAUUGAUUUAAACUCAAGAUGAGUUGAUACAUGUAGUUGUCUCCCUUUAUUAUUAUUAUUUUUUUUGCUGGGAGCCAUCAUAGAUCUACUUUAUGCAUUUUGAGUGCUAAACAUUCCGUCAAAAGCUUUCUUUUGAUUUAGAGCUAAUACCUGAAUUGCUUCAUUACAUCAUAGUUCAUGCCGAUGUGUUUGCAGUGCUUAUUUUUGAGUUGUCAUGAUUGGUCAUGAUGUUAUGCAUUUACCCUAUAAGAAAAAAUUAGUUUGUCACCACAUGCAUAAGCUUACAUAUACUAUGAAUUUUACACUGCAUGGAGUCAUAUGGAAUGUUAUCUAGAUGCAGAAGUGGCAUGAAUUAGUUGGAGAAUUUACCCACAAAAAUUAUCGGUCAGUAUAUUGUAGUAACGUUUUAGGGGUAAUUGACAUAUGCUUUCAUUGGUAUAAUUAGGAGAUUCUAAUAACAAAGUCUGGGUAGACUUCAACUUAAAGCGAUCAAUAUGUAGUAAUUGGAGUUUGUGUAGUUCUUAGAAAAUGGAAGAUCCAAAUUGCAAAUUCAGGACAUACUUUUCAAAUUAGGUGUAAAAGCAAAUAUCUAAAAAGAUCAUUGGAAAUACAAUAUAUGUGGGUACUUUGAUUGUACAAAAAGCUAAUACAAAUAAGAAUCACAAGACUUAGAAGCAUAAUUAUGACGGCAUUAUACUAUGAUUCCCCACCCUCUCCUAGAUACAUUUGCACUUGGUCUAUUUUGGAAUAAAACCAUUUUUGGCGCUUUCUACUUGACACAAAAUAAAAUACGUACCUCUGAAUUUUAUGUUAUAUAUGAGUAUUGUAUAAUGGAUGCAUUAUUAUAAGUAUAACAUAUAAAAUGCAUUUGUUACCUUGAGGGUGUGCGAGCCUGGGCAAGCCCCGACCCAAAAUUUGUUGUACGUAACGUAAUUAUGUGUUAUAAAUCUUUCCGCCACUUAUGCUUACUUUCAUUUCUUUUUUAAGCAUUGAUUUCCUUACAUAAUCAGAUAAUAAGACACAUGUCACUUUUUAUAUUUUUAAGUCUUUUGUUGCUUGCCAUCUCAUAUUGAAAUCUGCCACUUAUGCUUAUUUCCAUUUCUUUUUUAAGCUUGGAGUUUGCUUGCUUACAUAAUUAGGUAAUAAGACCCAUGUCAGUUUUUAUAGUUUUAAGUCGUUUGUUGCAACAAUUUUUUUUUUCCAUUCUCCAUUUUAACAAUUAGCCACAUAUUGUAGGUUACAUUGGUUCAGUCUCCUUCUUGAAUACUGUUCUAAGAGUUGUGGAUAAGCUUAGGUCUGUCAACCCCGGACUUACAUAUGUCAAAAUGCAGUUACUAUAUGGAGAUCUAUGGAAGAAAAUGGAAAUUGAAAGAUGCAUACCCGAACCACUAUACUUCGAGGAACGAGUUAGUACCAGAGCCCCCAUGAUGAUAGGAUGGAUGACAGAGGAAGUAAUUGAAGACAUUGUCGAAAUUGUACCAGGAAAGCAUGGGCUAGAGGAAACCUUAGACAUAAAAAAGUUCAUCUUCGAACUCUUAAUAACGUGGAAAAUAUUAUGUAUAUGGGAAUUCAAAGACAAUUGUUACAAACAAAUAUUGUUUAGGCAAUAUUUGUUUUAUUUGAUGUUUUUAUAAGUUAUUUCAAUGAGAAUUAUUAUGUAUUUUUUUGUUACACAA